GAUAAGUAAUGUGAAUUGCAGAAUUCAGUGAAUCAUCGAAUCUUUGAACGCACCUUGCGCUCCAUGGUAUUCCGAGGAGCAUGCCCGUUUGAGUGUCU
RNAcentral lists this ribosomal RNA (98 nucleotides) under Botryobasidium conspersum. RNAcentral's name for it is "Haplotrichum conspersum partial 5.8S ribosomal RNA". It matches the Rfam family "5.8S ribosomal RNA", at positions 57 to 154 of the family's 154-position model. From Rfam's summary of the family: 5.8S ribosomal RNA (5.8S rRNA) is a component of the large subunit of the eukaryotic ribosome. It is transcribed by RNA polymerase I as part of the 45S precursor that also contains 18S and 28S rRNA. Functionally, it is thought that 5.8S rRNA may be involved in ribosome translocation. Lineage: Eukaryota; Fungi; Basidiomycota; Agaricomycetes; Cantharellales; Botryobasidiaceae. The record is from RNAcentral.